Molecule: non-coding RNA, 21 nt
Organism: Caenorhabditis elegans
Lineage: Eukaryota; Metazoa; Nematoda; Chromadorea; Rhabditida; Rhabditidae
Source: Ensembl
UGAAAGUGCUGUUGGGCUGAA